AAGAGUACAAAGCUUACAAAAGCAACUAACUGUUAAUUAGAAGAUUGCGAGUUACCCAUUAUCGCUUACUCU
This 72-nucleotide transfer RNA is filed under the name Unio delphinus. RNAcentral describes it as "tRNA-Asn". The record is from RNAcentral. Lineage: Eukaryota; Metazoa; Mollusca; Bivalvia; Unionida; Unionidae.